RNAcentral lists this non-coding RNA (172 nucleotides) under Solanum lycopersicum (tomato). RNAcentral's name for it is "Bacterial small subunit ribosomal RNA". It matches the Rfam family "Bacterial small subunit ribosomal RNA", at positions 576 to 745 of the family's 1533-position model. The record is from Rfam by way of RNAcentral. Lineage: Eukaryota; Viridiplantae; Streptophyta; Magnoliopsida; Solanales; Solanaceae. RNAcentral also lists the same sequence under 1 other name.
UGGUUUGGUAUUCUGAGCGCGUCAAAUCCCAGGGCUCAACCCUGGACAGGCGGUGGAAACUACCAAGCAGGAGUACGGUAGGGGCAGAGGGAAUUUCCGGUGGAGCGGUGGAAUGCGUAGAGAUUGGAAGGAACACCAAGGGCGAAAGCACUCUGCUGGGCCGUCACUGACA